AGCAGCCGCGGUAAUUCCAGCUCCAAUAGCGUAUAUUAAAGUUGUUGCAGUUAAAAGCUCGUAGUUGAAUUUCGGGAUCAAUUAAUCGGUCGUGCCUCUGGUACGCACUGGUUUUAUUGGUUUCUCCCUUCUGACGAACCAGGAUGUCAUUAAUUUGGUGUCUUGGAGAAUCAGGACUGUUACUUUGAAAAAAUUAGAGUGUUUAAAGCAGGCUAACGCUUGAAUACAUUAGCAUGGAAUAAUGAAAUAGGACGUUUGAUCCUAUUUUGUUGGUUUCUAGGAUCGACGUAAUGAUUAAUAGGGAUAGUUGGGGGCAUUAGUAUUCAAUUGUCAGAGGUGAAAUUCUUGGAUUUAUUGAAGACUAACUACUGCGAAAGCAUUUGCCAAGGAUGUUUUCAUUAAUCAAGAACGAAAGUUAGGGGAUCGAAGACGAUCAGAUACCGUCGUAGUCUUAACCAUAAACUAUGCCGACUAGGGAUCGGAUGAUGUUAAUUUUUUAAUGACUCAUUCGGCGCCUUAC
This 520-nucleotide unclassified non-coding RNA is filed under the name uncultured Glomus. RNAcentral's name for it is "SSU rRNA". It matches the Rfam family "Eukaryotic small subunit ribosomal RNA", at positions 569 to 1091 of the family's 1831-position model. Lineage: Eukaryota; Fungi; Glomeromycota; Glomeromycetes; Glomerales; Glomeraceae. The record is from RNAcentral.